RNAcentral lists this transfer RNA (85 nucleotides) under bacterium. RNAcentral describes it as "tRNA-Leu". It matches the Rfam family "tRNA". Rfam says of the family: Transfer RNA (tRNA) molecules are approximately 80 nucleotides in length. The record is from RNAcentral.
GUGCUCGUGGCGGAACUGGCAGACGCGUCGGGUUUAGGACCCGAUGGCUCCGGCUAUGUGGGUUCGACCCCCACCGAGCACACCA